Acanthosepion pharaonis is the source of this 93-nucleotide non-coding RNA. The record is from the annotation of a GenBank genome assembly. NCBI's taxonomy places the organism in Eukaryota, Metazoa, Mollusca, Cephalopoda, Sepiida, Sepiidae.
UACGACCAUAUCAUGUUGAAACACCGGAUUCCGUACGAUCACCGAAAUUAAGCAACAUCGAGCUUGGUUAGGACUUAGAUGAGUGACUGCUUG